GACGUAGGUGGCGAACGUUAUCCGGAAUUACUGGGCGUAAAGGGCGCGUAGGCGGCACUGUUAGUCAGGCGUGAAAUUCCUGGGCUCAACCUGGGGACUGCGCUUGAUACGGCAGAGCUUGAGGAUGGAAGAGGGUCGCGGAAUUCCCAGUGUAGAGGUGAAAUUCGUAGAUAUUGGGAAGAACACCGGUGGCGAAGGCGGCGACCUGGUCCAUUACUGACGCUGAGGCGCGACAGCGUGGGGAGCAAACAGG
Molecule: ribosomal RNA, 253 nt
Filed under: uncultured bacterium
Lineage: Bacteria
Description: partial 16S ribosomal RNA
Rfam family: Bacterial small subunit ribosomal RNA
Source: RNAcentral